GCCAGGUGUGGUGGUGCAUGCCUGUAAUCCCAGUGGCUUGGGAGGCUGAGGCAGGAGGAUUGCAAGUUCAAAGCCAGCUUCAGCAAAAGUGAAGUGCUAAGCAACUUAGUGAGACCCUGUCUCUA
RNAcentral lists this small RNA (125 nucleotides) under Marmota monax (woodchuck). The record is from RNAcentral. Lineage: Eukaryota; Metazoa; Chordata; Mammalia; Rodentia; Sciuridae.